Molecule: antisense RNA, 75 nt
Filed under: Saccharopolyspora shandongensis
Lineage: Bacteria; Bacillati; Actinomycetota; Actinomycetes; Pseudonocardiales; Pseudonocardiaceae
Description: ASpks TB sRNA
Rfam family: ASpks TB sRNA
Source: RNAcentral
CUUCAGCGACCCCAGCCACAACGGGCGGUCGGUGGUGCGGUGUCGGCCGUAGGCGGCGAGAAGCGCCUGCGCCUC